Molecule: unclassified non-coding RNA, 867 nt
Filed under: Hevea brasiliensis (rubber tree)
Lineage: Eukaryota; Viridiplantae; Streptophyta; Magnoliopsida; Malpighiales; Euphorbiaceae
Source: RNAcentral
AAAAUUAAAAGAUUUGCCUCAUUGCAUUAAUACUUCAUUAACUGGAUUUUUUUUUUCAUUAACUUCAACUCGGAGAUUCGCAGCAGACAAUAUCUGCACAUGUAGUUUAAUGACAAUCUCCUCACCCUGUUGUUCUUACAUAUAAGAAAAUCUCCAUUAUAUUAUCCCAAGAAAUUUAAGAAACUGUUGCCAAAAAUACGAGGAUUCAUCAGAGCCUUGAAAAUGGUUUUGGCGCAGCAAAUAAAGUGGAAGUUGGUGAUACAUAUGGGGCCUUAUUAGGACUAGUUUUACUUGAAUGAUUGCCUCUCUCUUCUUCUUCCUCUUUCUCUUCACAUUCUUUCUCUCCAUUAACCUCCUUUGCUGCAUCAUCGACCAUAGUACACCGAGAACUAUUGUGGCUGCUUGAUGGAGGAGAAUAGCUAACAUCGAUCACCUUUCUAGUUAUGGCUGGAAAGAGUGAUGGCAGAAUAUCAACAAGACGAGUCUUAAUGCGGUUCAAGGCAUCUUUGGUGAGACCAUGAGCAGCAAAAGUGACAUCUUUAACCACGGUUUCUAAGAAGUGAUGUGCAGUCUCCAAGGCAUCGGCAGGGAUGGCAGCAGCAGACAGCUUCUCCUUUAUCACCCGCACAUGUCUCCUUAUCUCCUCCAUCACCCCCAUGCCUUAAUUGCCUUGUUCUUCACUUGGAUUGCCUUGUGUUGUCUCACAUAGCUCCACUUCUUAAUUUUGAUAGUGAUUUGGAAGAUUGGGCUUAACUCCACCUUUAAAGAAAUCUUAUGGAGGAGAAUUGUUUAAGUCAUAAAAAGCAUUUUAUCAACUUAGGCAGUAGAUGUGAGUAGAGCUGGCAUGAAAUUUGUAGAACUGGAUAU